AUGUUGGGGCGAGGGACAGCGGACACGGACACGGGCUUGGCUCCCGAGUCCUCUGGCGUGGCCUUUUUUUCUUCUGGCAGAGGGCGGAGGGAGAGGCCCUGGGGGAAGGGCGGGCUGGCAUUCGCGGUGCAAUACUGCCAUCAAGCGGAAAGUCCUCGGAGGGGGGGGGAUCCGGGAGCCCGGCGCCAUGCUCUCUGUCCCGCGUGGAGGGGCCCCGGGAGUGACGUGGAGGGAGUCCGGGGACGGACGGACGGACGGACGGACGGGAUGGAGCGCGAGGGAGGUCCCAGGUCCGGGGGCCUGGGGGCCUGGCCGGUCGGGCCCGGGAAGCCCCAAGCCACGUCUGGGCCGGACUGGAGCGGGGUGACGCAGCCACCCGGGCCGGGCCAGGGGGCGCCGGGCCCGUGGCCGCGCGUGCCCCUUCUCCCGGGAGCUAGAGCAGGAUCCGUGGGGCCUUUGGCCGCCAGCCCCCUGCAGCCCCGCCUACGACCCGCACGGGAACCUGGAGGGCUGCCGCCACUGCUGGUGCGGACGGAGGCGGGGGACAUCAGGGUCCCCGUGUCCGGAUCGCGGGAAGGGGAACGGGUGUGGAGCCGGGCCACCCGGUGUCAAGGGGGGGGCCUUGAGCGUGAGGCGGUUUUGGGAGGCGGCGGUGGGGUAGGGGCGGGGGAGGAGGUGGUGGCGGAGCUCACCAGGAGGAGCAGAGAGUCCCAGAGGGACGGAGGGACGGGCCCCUGGUGGGGGCAGCAGCAGCACCAGCGGGCCUCCCCGCCUUCCUC
RNAcentral lists this long non-coding RNA (779 nucleotides) under Vulpes vulpes (red fox). RNAcentral's name for it is "lncRNA (ENSVVUG00000018597.1)". The record is from RNAcentral. Lineage: Eukaryota; Metazoa; Chordata; Mammalia; Carnivora; Canidae.